ACGUGUUCUAAGCGGUGUUGAUUUUAUCGUAAGAACCUUGCUAUUCUAAACGAUACGGUUAUUAGAAGCUCGUUCAUGAUCUUCUAACAAUCGAACACGUCACACGCGAAAUGCACCGAAGUACACAUUGUUUGUGAAACAAAAGAGUUAAAAGUCGUCUUCCCUGCAAGUAAAGUUACAGACAAUGAGAAAUAUAACGAUCGAUAAAAUGAAACGAAAACCAUUAACCAAUGUCAUACGACUGUAAAUUAGCAGUUUUACACGAACAAUUUUGCGAUUUGACGUUAAGAGUAAAUUGAAUAUUCUCCAUCAUUAUUUACGUAACACGGAGAAUGACCAAGUAUUUACAUUUAAAUAUAGCGAAGUAUACCACACUUUGUCGUGUUGCUACAAUUUUGAGCCCGGUGAAUCGAUUAAAAUUACGUAUAUAUGUAGGUUGAUGAAAAUGGUUGAAAAAAA
Long non-coding RNA from Bombus impatiens (common eastern bumble bee), 459 nucleotides. RefSeq lists it as uncharacterized. The transcript has 2 exons. The record is from RefSeq and is a predicted model, not a curated record. NCBI's taxonomy places the organism in Eukaryota, Metazoa, Arthropoda, Insecta, Hymenoptera, Apidae.